This 253-nucleotide ribosomal RNA is filed under the name uncultured bacterium. RNAcentral describes it as "partial 16S ribosomal RNA". It matches the Rfam family "Bacterial small subunit ribosomal RNA", at positions 524 to 776 of the family's 1533-position model. The record is from RNAcentral.
UACGAAGGGGGCUAGCGUUGCUCGGAAUCACUGGGCGUAAAGGGUGCGUAGGCGGGUCUUUAAGUCAGGGGUGAAAUCCUGGAGCUCAACUCCAGAACUGCCUUUGAUACUGAAGAUCUUGAGUUCGGGAGAGGUGAGUGGAACUGCGAGUGUAGAGGUGAAAUUCGUAGAUAUUCGCAAGAACACCAGUGGCGAAGGCGGCUCACUGGCCCGGAUCUGACGCUGAGGCGCGAAAGCGUGGGGAGCAAACAGG